GAGCUUUUGUGAUCGCUUUUCGUCCGGCGUCCGUCCGUACACUUUUACUUUACAUAAACUACUAAGCAAAUUUCAUCCAAACUUCAAUGGAAUAUUCAUUUGGUGGUCACCUUUGAAAAUUGUUUCCAUGCAGAACUCUGGUUGCCAUGGCAACCAAAGGAAAUUUUUUUAAAUAUUUUCUUUACAAAUUGUAAAAAAUAGUUCUGCACGUGAAAGGGAAAUAAUAUCACUCUAAAAAUUGAUAUGGAUCUAUUAAAAUCUGGUUUUACUUGCAUGCAGAGUUACAUAUCAACAGCAUUUUCAUGUACAGCAAAUAUUUUUAAAGUAUUAACACAAAAAUUGUUUUCAUAUCACUAGGUACAGCAGCAGGCUCUGCAUAUUUAAAAUGGAGAGAAUCGAAGGCCCGAAACAACAAAGUGUAGCCAGUAUUCUAGAAAACUUAGCUGGUUCAGCUUCUUCAGCACUGCCAAUCCUGCUGAAAGCAAUUCAUCAUAUAAGUCCUGAGGAGGUACACAACUGCACCGAGAAACUCAUGGACAAGGUGCCUUGUGAUCUGAGAGUUCUGGAAAGUCUAAAACAGUGCCUCUAACAGCUGCUAGAAAGGUUGUAAGUCAAACAGAGAUGAAGGAGGAGUAGAUAAAAUUGUAAGGCCGUUUUUACUUGACACAGUUGGGUUAAGUGAAGGAAUGCUGACCCGCUAAAAGGCAGAAGGCAGUGGAGAUCCCUCUCAAGUUGUAAGAAUGAAGGAUCAGCUACUUAGAGCAGUGGUUAUCAACGUGUGUGAUGUGAGAAGACAUCAGGCAAAGAUUUAUUGCUCUACACUCUGGAGAACACAUGCUUAACAAUGAGGAAGAAACAGAAAGGGAGCCUGUAACAUGUGAACAGGAAGAAAAAGGAGAGGAUAUGUUACAAAUAGACGCAGAAGUGGCGUUUAGGAUGAAACGACCGAGAAAAGUAAGAAGUAGGCUGAGGACGAGUCCUACGAAGCAGAAAAAAAGUAAA
This is a long non-coding RNA of Ruditapes philippinarum (Manila clam), 1002 nucleotides long. RefSeq lists it as uncharacterized. The transcript is spliced from 3 exons. The record is from RefSeq and is a predicted model, not a curated record. NCBI's taxonomy places the organism in Eukaryota, Metazoa, Mollusca, Bivalvia, Venerida, Veneridae.